GACGAACGCUGGCGGCGUGCUUAACACAUGCAAGUCGAACGGAAAGGCCCCCACUUUUUUGGUGGGGGUGCUCGAGUGGCGAACGGGUGAGUAACACGUGGGUGAUCUGCCCUGUACUUCGGGAUAAGCUUGGGAAACUGGGUCUAAUACCGGAUAGGACCAUGGUUUAGUGUCUCAUGGUGGAAAAAUUAUUGUUUUGGUGCAGGAUGAGCUCGCGGCCUAUCAGCUUGUUGGUGGGGUAAUGGCCUACCAAGGCGUCGACGGGUAGCCGGCCUGAGAGGGUGGACGGCGACAGUGGGACUGAGAUACGGCCCAGACACCUACGGGAGGCAGCAGUGGGGAAUGUUGCACAAUGGGCGCAAGCCUGAUGCAGCGGCGCCGCGUGGGGGAUGACGGCCUUCGGGUUGUAAACUCCUUUCGUUAGGGACGAAGCCGCACCUUUUUUGGGUGUGGUGACGGUACCUUUGUUAAGAAGCACCGGCUAACUACGUG
This 492-nucleotide ribosomal RNA is filed under the name uncultured bacterium. RNAcentral describes it as "partial 16S ribosomal RNA". It matches the Rfam family "Bacterial small subunit ribosomal RNA", at positions 28 to 507 of the family's 1533-position model. The record is from RNAcentral.